GUGCCAGCCGCCGCGGUAAGACAGAGGGUGCAAACGUUGUUCGGAAUUACUGGGCGUAAAGCGCGUGUAGGCGGCUCGGAAAGUCGGAUGUGAAAGCCCUGGGCUCAACCUAGGAAGUGCAUUCGAAACUUCUGAGCUUGAGUAUCGGAGAGGAAGGCGGAAUUCUCGGUGUAGAGGUGAAAUUCGUAGAUAUCGAGAGGAACACCGGUGGCGAAGGCGGCCUUCUGGACGAAAACUGACGCUGAGACGCGAAAGCGUGGGGAGCAAACAGGAUUAGAUACCCCCGUAGUCC
This 292-nucleotide ribosomal RNA is filed under the name uncultured bacterium. RNAcentral's name for it is "partial 16S ribosomal RNA". It matches the Rfam family "Bacterial small subunit ribosomal RNA", at positions 505 to 796 of the family's 1533-position model. The record is from RNAcentral.